Clarias gariepinus (North African catfish) is the source of this 338-nucleotide long non-coding RNA. RefSeq lists it as uncharacterized. NCBI's taxonomy places the organism in Eukaryota, Metazoa, Chordata, Actinopteri, Siluriformes, Clariidae. The record is from RefSeq and is a predicted model, not a curated record. The transcript has 3 exons.
UUCCUACUGUAAAGUCUCGGCUCCAUUUUGUGCAGCGUUUGGAGAAUGUAAACUUUAUCGGCAGAAACGGUGAUAUUAACGUCACACAACAAGAAUGUCGACUAAAGGAGUAUAAUUCAUCACAGCAGAGGAGAUCAGACUCUUCAGGACUCGGCUGUGUGUUUGUGCCAUCUUUACUAAUUUUCAAAGAUGGAUAAUCCUGACCGGGACAAAGAUAUUUCCAGGCUCUUAGAAGAACGUAAUUUCUAUGGAAACAGACGAGGAUCCCCAUCACCGAGCGGUGUCUCCAUGAAGAGUGCUGUGUCUAUGGAGCCUCCUGAGAAUUUUAGUGGUGGAGU